CGCGGUUCCUGGGCGGCGGCGCGGGCGCGGUUCCUGUCGAGUGGAGUGGGGAUUUUUUCGCAGUGGGCCCGAUCUGUAAGACACGUGAAAGUAGACGGAGACGGCGUCCAGGCGUAUUUGUGAGCAACGGGAACGAGAAUCGGGUAAAACUGAGUAAGAAUAAAAACUAAGGGUAGCAACGAGUACCGUGGCGAAACUAAGGGGACCAAUGUAAAAAACCCUUUUUAUUAUACAUAAGACUAAAAAAAUAAAAAAAACUUUAACUUGAUUGGGAUUUAUUAAACUCAUCCAAUCUCACGCAAUCUACAUUCACGCAAUCUACAUGGAUUAAGAUCUAAUUAAACAAACCCUAAUGAAUCGGAAGGACGGUAAGGCAGCGCGCUGACAGUGCAUGAACGGCGGCGGCACCCGGCCGGGAGGUGGAAUCGAGCGAUGAACGACGGCGCAGCAGCGAAAACUCGAAGCAAAAGAGCAGGCGAUGGCAAGGAAAUGGGCCGGGGGGAAGCUAGCCAUGGGCGUACGUACGCGUACCUCGGCGGGUCUGGAGCUCCCGUUCCCGAUGGCCUCGGAUGAUCCGAUCUCGUCUGCUUCCUGCAGCUAUAGCUAUAGCUUGCUUCUUCCGGACGAAACAGUACGAAGGCCUAGCUAAGCCUGCCUCGAUCGGGGGGGAUGCUUAUUUGGUGAACUCCCCGAAAUCUGAUGGAGCGAGCAGGUGCCAACAGCAGCGUGGACUGGAGGACCAGUGCGUGACGAGGGCAGGGGCAGGGAGAGAGAGCCAGAGAGAGGGAGGGAGCUCAGGCCCUGGCUGGCUUUAUACGCACAGCAGGUCAGCAGCCAGCCAGCGCCAAGUGCAGGCACAUGAGCAGGGAGGGAGGGGCGCGCUUGGGUCGUUG
RNAcentral lists this unclassified non-coding RNA (893 nucleotides) under Zea mays. Its description in RNAcentral is "misc RNA Zm00001eb018190". The record is from RNAcentral. Lineage: Eukaryota; Viridiplantae; Streptophyta; Magnoliopsida; Poales; Poaceae.